UUGUUGUUCUCUUUCUCUAUAACUCCCGAUCUUUGAAAGGGUCAAAGUUUUCGAAGUUCUAAUAGUCUUUGUAUUACUACCUUCUCUGUCUCAUCUGUAGCCUCAGAAUUGAUAUCUGUACUCUUUAGCCUUAGACUUGAUUCGUUUCUACUCUCUAUAUAAACAACCGUACUCUCUCUACACACACAGCAGAAAAACUUACGUAUAGAAGCUGCAAUUAUUUUGUUGUGGAUAUCAUCAUCACGACAGUAAUUUCCUCCAUUGUUUCUUCAACAUUUCAUUGUAAACUUUCUUAGAGUUUUGCUUCCAUGGUGGUCAAGGGUGAGUAUGAACGUUCACUGGAGCACACUCCAACAUGGGCUGUUGCGGUGGUCUGCUUUGUGUUGGUUGUUAUUUCUCUCUUCAUUGAACAUAUCAUUCAUAUCAUUGGAAAGUGGCUAAAAAACAAACACAAGUUAACUCUCUACGAAGCACUUGAAAAAAUCAAAACAGAGCUUAUGAUAUUGGGAUUCAUAUCCUUGUUCUUAAUAGUGUUUCAAGCGCAAAUUACUAAUAUAUGUAUACCCAAGAGUGUUGGAGCCACUUGGCACCCCUGUAAAGAUGAGUACAAGGAAGAGACAGAUUCCCAGGAUAAAGGACGGAAACUACUACAACUUUUGGAUUCUGGUUUCGGUUCACGAAGAAUAUUAGCUGCAAAAGAAAUUGACAAAUGCACAGAAGAGGAUAAAGUCGCAUUGGUGUCUAAUUAUGGGAUUCACCAGCUCCAUAUAUUCAUUUUUGUGUUAGCUGUUGUUCAUGUGCUCUAUUGCAUCACCACCUUGGCUUUGGACAGAACUAAGAUGAGAAAAUGGAAGGUUUGGGAGGAAGAAACAAAGAAACCUGAAUAUCAAUACUAUCAUGACCCACAAAGGUUUAGGUUUACAAGGGACACAUCAUUUGGGUGAAGACAUUUGAACUUCUGGAGCAAGUCAACAAUUUCCCUUUGGAUAGUGUGUUUCUUCCGACAAUUCUUUAUGUCAGUUAACAAGGUUGAUUACCUUACAUUGAGACAUGGAUUUAUCACUGCACAUUUGGCACCAGAAAGUGAAACAAAAUUUGAUUUCCGAAAGUACAUUAGCAGAUCACUUGAAAAGGAUUUUAAAGUUGUGGUGGGGAUCAGUCCAAUCAUAUGGUUCUUUGCGUUGUUAUUCUUCCUGUCCAACACAUAUGGAUGGCAUUCUUAUUUAUGGCUACCAUUUCUCCCAUUGAUUAUAAUACUCCUGGUGGGGACAAAGCUACUAGUGAUAAUUACACAAAUGGGGCUAAGAAUUCAAGAGACAGGACAUGUGGUUAGAGGUGAACCUGUGGUGCAGCCAGGUGAUGACCUCUUCUGGUUUGGACGCCCCAAGUUCAUUCUCUUUCUCAUUCACUUGGUUCUUUUUCAGAAUGCAUUUCAAUUGGCCUUCUUUGCUUGGAGUACGGUUCAGUUUGGCUUGAGUAAUUGCUUCCAUAGUCGCACUGAAGAUAUCGUCAUCAGAAUCUCAAUGGGGGUCAUCAUACAAGUUGUAUGUAGUUAUGUGACUUUGCCUCUCUACGCUUUGGUGACUCAGAUGGGAUCUAGUAUGAGUUCUACCAUUUUUAAUGAUCAGCUGGCAGCAGGAUUAAAAGAUUGGCACCGCACAGCCAAAAAGAACGCUAAACAUAGCAAUCAUACUGAGACUAAAUCACCCAUUUCAAGUACUCCCUCAACUCCCACACGUGGCACGUCCCCGGUUCACCUCUUGCACAACUAUCACCAUAGCAGCCAUGAUAGCUUGCAUCCAUCUCCAAGAAGGUCCCAUGUCAGAAAUGAUCAUCGGGACAAUAAUGAGAGGCACUCGAGUAGGCAUUUGGAGCAAGAAAAGCCGGAAACUCAAGAGCCAAGCUCAUUGCAGUUGCCAUCAGCUCCACCAGAUCAUGCACAACAUGAAAUCAACAUUAGUUCGUCUUUUGCCUUUAGGAAAUGAGUAAGCCAAUGUAGAUUGGAUCAUAGGAGAAUAUCGCUUACUUAUAUAUAACAUGGUGUGCAUGGUUAGAGCGAGCUCCUACAGACUAAACCAAGGUUUUGUAUCUAUAAAUAGCAUCACUUUUGUAAAGUACAACAAUUCUGCAUAAUAGCAUUUAGUUUAAAUACGUCUUGAGAGCUUUGUUCCAAGAAAGUAUUCUUGAAGAA
Molecule: RNA transcript, 2191 nt
Organism: Quercus lobata
Lineage: Eukaryota; Viridiplantae; Streptophyta; Magnoliopsida; Fagales; Fagaceae
Gene name: MLO-like protein 6
Exons: 15
Source: RefSeq, a predicted model, not a curated record